RNAcentral lists this ribosomal RNA (372 nucleotides) under uncultured bacterium. RNAcentral's name for it is "bacterial SSU rRNA". It matches the Rfam family "Bacterial small subunit ribosomal RNA", at positions 527 to 898 of the family's 1533-position model. The record is from RNAcentral.
GAACCGUCCUAACGUUGUUCGGAUUCACUGGGCUUAAAGGGCGCGUAGGCGGGCAAGCAAGUCCGGGGUGAAAUCUUUCGGCUCAACCGGAAAACUGCCUUGGAUACUGCUUGUCUAGAGGGAGGUAGGGGUCUGUGGAACUUCCGGUGGAGCGGUGAAAUGCGUUGAUAUCGGAAGGAACGCCGGUGGCGAAAGCGACGGACUGGACCUCUUCUGACGCUGAGGCGCGAAAGCUAGGGGAGAGAACGGGAUUAGAUACCCCGGUAUUCCUAGCCCUAAACGAUGGGUACUAGGUAGUGGACUUAACAUGGGUUCACUGCCGAAGCAAAAGUGAUAAGUACCCCGCCUGGGGAGUAUGGUCGCAAGGCUGAA